This 83-nucleotide transfer RNA is filed under the name Procavia capensis (Cape rock hyrax). Its description in RNAcentral is "tRNA-Leu (TAA) (tRNA-Leu-TAA-1-1, tRNA-Leu-TAA-1-2)". It matches the Rfam family "tRNA". Rfam says of the family: Transfer RNA (tRNA) molecules are approximately 80 nucleotides in length. Their secondary structure includes four short double-helical elements and three loops (D, anti-codon, and T loops). The record is from RNAcentral. Lineage: Eukaryota; Metazoa; Chordata; Mammalia; Hyracoidea; Procaviidae.
ACCAGGAUGGCCGAGUGGUUAAGGCGUUGGACUUAAGAUCCAAUGGACGUCUGUCCGCGUGGGUUCGAACCCCACUCCUGGUA